Molecule: ribosomal RNA, 440 nt
Filed under: uncultured bacterium
Lineage: Bacteria
Description: partial 16S ribosomal RNA
Rfam family: Bacterial small subunit ribosomal RNA
Source: RNAcentral
CCUACGGGUGGCAGCAGUAGGGAAUAUUGCUCAAUGGGGGAAACCCUGAAGCAGCAACGCCGCGUGGGGGAAGAAGGACUUCGGAUUGUAAACUCCUUUUGGCAGAGAAGAAAAUGACGGUACCUGACCAAGAAGCACCGGCUAACGACGUGCCAGCAGCCGCGGUAAUCCGGAGGGGGCAAGCGUUACUCGGAUUUACUGGGGGUAAAGAGGGCGUAGGCGGGAUAGCAAGUCCGGUGUGAAAUCCCAUGGCUUAACCAUAGAACUGCAUUUGAAACUGUUGUUCUGGAGUGGGGGAGAGGUAGGCGGAAUUCUUGGUGUAGCGGUGAAAUGCGUAGAGAUCAAGAGGAACACCGAUGGCGAAGGCGGCCUGCUAGACCAUAACUGACGCUGAGGCUCGAAAGCGUGGGGAGCAAACAGGAUUAGAUACCCUGGUAGUC